RNAcentral lists this ribosomal RNA (494 nucleotides) under uncultured bacterium. Its description in RNAcentral is "partial 16S ribosomal RNA". It matches the Rfam family "Bacterial small subunit ribosomal RNA", at positions 28 to 507 of the family's 1533-position model. The record is from RNAcentral.
GACGAACGCUGGCGGCGUGCUUAACACAUGCAUGUCGAACGGAAAGGCCUGCUUUCCCUUGUGGAUUGCGGGUACUCGAGUGGCGAACGGGUGAGUAACACGUGAGUGAUCUGCCCCCAACUUGGGUAUAAGCCUGGGAAACUGGGUCUAAUUCCCGAUAGGACUGCAGGGUGGUGCCUGUGGUGGAAAACGAUUUUCUAGUGGUUGGGGUUGAGCUCGCGGCCUAUCAGCUUGUUGGUGGGGUAAUGGCCUACCAAGGCGGCGACGGGUAGCCGGCCUGAGAGGGUGGACGGCCACAUUGGGACUGAGAUACGGCCCAGACUCCUACGGGAGGCAGCAGUGGGGAAUAUUACACAAUGGGCGGAAGCCUGAUGCAGCGACGCCGCGUGGGGGAUGACGGCCUUCGGGUUGUAAACUCCUUUCGACCGCGAGGAAGCCACCUGGUUGGAAGGGUGGUGACGGUAGUGGUAGAAGAAGCACCGGCUAACUACGUG